AUGAGCGUAUUCGAGCAGGUGGUGAUGGGGUUUGAUGCCGACAAUACCAUGUUGCUCAUAAAGUGUGGCAAAGAAGACAUGCUCGAGAGCAUGAUGUUACUGCUCGUGGGCGUUUCACUAGUACUCAUGAAGUGCAACAAAGAAGACAAGCUCGAGGGCUUGAUGUUGCUGCUCAUGGGCGUGUCACUACUCCUCAAGAAGUGCAGCAAGGAGGACAUGCUCAAGGGCAUGGUGUUUCUUCUCGUGGGCGUGAUAGUACUGCACCUGAAGUGCAACAAGGAUGUCAUGCUCGAGGGAGAAGUUGUGUAA
This 309-nucleotide ribosomal RNA is filed under the name Triticum aestivum (bread wheat). RNAcentral's name for it is "partial small subunit ribosomal RNA". Lineage: Eukaryota; Viridiplantae; Streptophyta; Magnoliopsida; Poales; Poaceae. The record is from RNAcentral.